UGAGUCGUUCGGAUGAUCGCGGCCAGAUACUGCUUGCAGUACUUGGCUGAGGAAAGUCGGGGCUUCACAGGACAGAGUGCUGGCGAGAGCCAGGUCGGGGCGACUUGACGAAUGGUGCAACAGAGAAUAAACCGCCGAUGGGCAAUGACCGCAAGGUCAUCGUCACAGGUAAGGCUGAAACGGUGCGGUAAGAGCGCACCAGCGUACGAAGCAAUUUGUGCGGCUUGGUAUCAACACUCGAAGCAAGACCAUGCAGAGGGCAUGAGCGGUCCGU
This 274-nucleotide RNase P RNA is filed under the name Actinomycetota bacterium. RNAcentral's name for it is "Actinobacteria bacterium partial RNase P RNA component class A". It matches the Rfam family "Bacterial RNase P class A", at positions 1 to 253 of the family's 367-position model. From Rfam's summary of the family: Ribonuclease P (RNase P) is a ubiquitous endoribonuclease, found in archaea, bacteria and eukarya as well as chloroplasts and mitochondria. Lineage: Bacteria; Bacillati; Actinomycetota. The record is from RNAcentral.